This 181-nucleotide unclassified non-coding RNA is filed under the name uncultured Eurotiomycetes. Its description in RNAcentral is "sequence contains ITS1". Lineage: Eukaryota; Fungi; Ascomycota; Eurotiomycetes. The record is from RNAcentral.
CCGAGUUAGGGUCUUCUAGGCCCAAUCUCCAACCCUGUGUAUAUAUAACUUCGUUGCUUUGGCAGGCCUGUCUUUGACCAGACUGCCGGAGGUCCCAGGACCGCCGGAGAGUGCCUGUCAGUAGCCCCCAUUUUAAAUUCUUGAAUAAUCGUGACGUCUGAGUUGAGAUAACAAAUAGUUA